Molecule: long non-coding RNA, 879 nt
Organism: Carassius auratus (goldfish)
Lineage: Eukaryota; Metazoa; Chordata; Actinopteri; Cypriniformes; Cyprinidae
Exons: 3
Source: RefSeq, a predicted model, not a curated record
GUCCGCAGUUAUAGUUUUUCACAUAUACAUCUUUUUUAUAGCUCCUAAAAUGAGCAAAUAAGCUGUGGCAUCAUCUCUGUGAUUUGGAAAGGAAAUGACUGAAUAUGAUGGAGCCAGUUGAUGAAGAUAUCAAUUGAAUGGCCACCGAGUGCAUCACUGCUACCUGAACCCAUCAGUUAUCUGCUGUGAAGACUGCAUUCACAAACCGCUCUACUGCGACAGCUCAGAUGUUACGGCCUGUAAAAGUAAACAUCACAGCUAAACAACGAGAGCUAGUUGUGGUGGGAUUCUUUGGCCAAUAUCCCCAACAAGAAUCAAUGACAUCUAGACCAGGUGGAGUGUGAGGAGGACCGUCAGAGACUCCAGCCAGCCGAGCCAUGGAUUGCUCUCACUGUUACCAUCAGGCAUGCGUUAUCACAGAACCUACACCAGCAGACAGUGAGACAAGUUCCUUUCACAGGCAAUCAGACUGAACUGAACUCAUACAAAUAAAACCAUACACACCCCACCAACCUCAUAUGCCCUGCACUCUUAUCAGUUACGCUGACUGGACUCAAUAUUAUUAUGCACCCUGACAUUCUGUUUGCACUAAUUCAUACCGUGCUGCACUGCAGAGAUGUAUGUGUACUGUGAUUAUUAUUGUUUUCAAUUCAUGCUCUCUGUAUAGCAUAAUUUUUAACAUAUAUUGUUCUCUACCUGAAUUGAGUCCCUUAUAUAUGUGUGUUGCAUAUAUAUAUUCAGAAUUUGUAUUUCAUAUAUAUUCAUGAAUUAAUUCAUUUGUCAUCCAUACUGUCACGCUGCAGUCUGCACCCAAGACUUUCAUCACCUGUAUACUUGUGUUCAUUGUAUUGUGACAAUAAAGAUAUUUGAUUUAAAUUA